UGGGGAAUAUUGGACAAUGGGCGAAAGCCUGAUCCAGCCAUGCCGCGUGUGUGAAGAAGGUCUUCGGAUUGUAAAGCACUUUAAGUUGGGAGGAAGGGCAGUAAGCGAAUACCUUGCUGUUUUGACGUUACCGACAGAAUAAGCACCGGCUAACUCUGUGCCAGCAGCCGCGGUAAUACAGAGGGUGCAAGCGUUAAUCGGAAUUACUGGGCGUAAAGCGCGCGUAGGUGGUUCGUAAAGUUGAAUGUGAAAGCCCCGGGCUCAACCUGGGAACUGCAUCCAAAACUGGCGAGCUAGAGUAGGGCAGAGGGUGGUGGAAUUUCCUGUGUAGCGGUGAAAUGCGUAGAUAUAGGAAGGAACACCAGUGGCGAAGGCGACCACCUGGGCUCAUACUGACACUGAGGUGCGAAAGCGUGGGGAGCAAACAGG
RNAcentral lists this ribosomal RNA (429 nucleotides) under Pseudomonadota bacterium. Its description in RNAcentral is "Proteobacteria bacterium partial 16S ribosomal RNA". It matches the Rfam family "Bacterial small subunit ribosomal RNA", at positions 355 to 776 of the family's 1533-position model. The record is from RNAcentral. Lineage: Bacteria; Pseudomonadati; Pseudomonadota.